UUAGUUCAAGAUAAAGAAUGUUAGUGUGAAUAAAUUACUUUCUCUCACAGAAAGACUUUGGGACUGAUUCUGCUUUCACUUUCACUGCUGGAUAUCUGACGUCUUUGAAGUCACACCAUCAAAGUUAGCAGAGUUACAAAGCAGAGGGUGAAGAGCUGAAAGUUAAAAGGUAAACGUGAAUCUUGAGGAGACAAGUUUACACGGACUGAGUCCUACUACCCAGGUAGACAUUCAGUCUCACAACAGAAGAAUCCUGGCAAAGGAAGGAAGGAAUCCUACUGAGAGAUACUCAACAACAUUGUAAAAAUAGACAUCUAUGCUUGUUGUUUUAGGAUUCCCUGGAAGCUACCCUCCUUUGUGUACUCUCAGGAGGGUAGCGAGAGUGGGGGCACUGACACAUCAAUCAAGAGCUUGUUCAGAAGGAAGUGAACAUUGUAAAUUGAUGCUGUUAUCAUUACACAGUGGACACAGACUUUCAUGUGCAGGGGAGUGGUGAGUAUUAUGAUAUUUGGGAUAUGAUUUGGGAGACACUAGCAAAGAAAUGGAGAUGGUGAUUGCAAAUAUGACAAUAAUUCUAAAAUGGAAGAUAAUGGCACAUUGGAAUGAGAGGAAAACUUACAAGGUACAGUGUCCUUUUAAAAAGCAAUAAGACAAUCGCUGAGAAAGUUUCUUUUAAUUGGCCAAGCAAAACAAGGCCUAACACACAGCUUGAUGAUCUUUCUGUUUGUCUGUAACUGUGAGGGAUUGUGGGGCUCAAACUGGGGUCCACAGCUACCCAAACAGUCCUUGGACCACAGUCAUCACCCAUCAGCUCGCUGGUGCUGGAGGGAAUGUGGACAGGUGGACCUAGCUCACCAUAGGCAUCACCCAUGAAGCUCCCAAUUGAAGGAGUAGUCCAGCCUACCCAAUUGGCCCAGCUCACUAUUUAAGCCAGACGGAAGCACAGGAAGUUGUCUGACCAAUGGGGUGUACCUCUGGCUACUGCUACAUUGGACUCAACCUUCUUGCUUGACUCCUGGGCCCUGCCUUAUUCCCGAUUCCUUCCUUCCUGCUUUGUUCUAUAACCCUGCUUCUAUACCCCACCCCUGGCUACUGACUCCUGCACUGUCUCUGUCAUUGAUCUCCAGUUCCUGACUCCUGCUCUGACCACUAGGCCUGACUACAGUUCUAACCACCAGGUCUAACUGCUUCAGAUCAGGAUAUUUGCACUGUGGCUCCCUCCACAUUCUGUUGUUGAGGAAGUUGUUGUUAUGAAAAUCAUAAAACAAUGAAGAGACAAAGAGGAAUGGCUUAGAUGAUUUGACAAUAUAAUUUAUGUUUAGUGACAGUAUCCUGUUCCUACAGAUUCAGGGAUAGAGACUGCUUUCCUGCCCCUCCCACGACCUACCAGCUUGGCCUACCUAAACAAAGAAAUGUUAUAAAAAGGUAUGAUGUAGGGAUAAAUAUUAUAACAACAUCAGGGGUAGGAAUUGCACAAUUAUAGCAGGUUGUGCAUC
RNAcentral lists this long non-coding RNA (1496 nucleotides) under Chrysemys picta bellii (western painted turtle). RNAcentral describes it as "lncRNA (ENSCPBG00000026019.1)". Lineage: Eukaryota; Metazoa; Chordata; Testudines; Emydidae. The record is from RNAcentral.